Long non-coding RNA from Globicephala melas (long-finned pilot whale), 2212 nucleotides. RefSeq lists it as uncharacterized. Lineage: Eukaryota; Metazoa; Chordata; Mammalia; Artiodactyla; Delphinidae. The record is from RefSeq and is a predicted model, not a curated record.
GACCACCACAUCCAGGUCCUAGGGCCACUGCAUCUGGCUCUCAUUGUCCAGCAGCCUGAUAUUUUUUUGCCCCAUUGAAGGCAGCAUUAAUUCCUUCCUUUGCUCCUGCAUAAGGAAAAAUUUCCCCUCUGCCCAGAGAUUUCCCCAGAGCCCUUCCACAGAUGGCAAUUUCAGAUCAGUUUUAGCUUUUGGUGAGAGCUGUGGUGUCACCAUGCUGCUGACAUGAGAGAGGACGGGAGAGGGUGGGGCCGUGCACGCACCCAGGAGCCCUAACCUUCCCCCCACCCCUGGCUUCCCACAGUGCGGCGAUCUGGAAGGAACCUGGAGUUUGGAGUCAGGUAACUGACUUUGAGAGUUGGCUCCUCCAGCUGUGUGACCUUGGGUCACAAAAACGGCCAAGGAGGUGGUCCUGAAGUUCUGACAGUUUCCUCAGUGGGAGAUGGGCACUCUGGGCGAUCACAACAGACAGCACGGAGAACCCUGGGGGCCUGUGUGAAUGACGGGGUCUGCGCAGAGAGAGCAGGGUGCCACGAGGGUGCGAAUAAGAGAGAGAGACGGAUCUAAUAGUGAUGCUCUGCUGCCCAUUUGACACACGAUCCUGGAGAACCUACUGAACGCCGGGCACCCAGGAGCCCCACCCAGAAGGCCGGCCUUAUGAUUGAUGACAUUUGCCAAAAUAAAAAGUAAAGGAAAGAAGAAGAGAGAGAGAAGAAAGAAAGAAAGAUCAACGCAUGUCAUGCUUCCCAUACUACUUUCUGAUUACAAGCUGACUGCCCACCUUCCUGCUGGUAAAGGCGGCUCUGAUCCUGGCCACGUUGUUCUGGCUUACUUGGUGAUCGUUUUGCCCUUUGCAAAUUAAGAAUGUGGCAUUCAAGUUUGGAUGAGCACUGCCCCAAGUGUGGUAUGGGGAUCAGAGCCUACGUGUGAACUGUUUGUUACCAGAAUACAAGGUGAUCGAGGGUAAAUAAUUUAGAAACUUCUGUAGCCAAUGACUUUGCCCUACCGUCCAAGCUCAUGGUCAGUGGAUGGGUCUCGUGAACAGGGCUUGAGGGUAGUCAGAUUCGAGUGGUGAAUGUCAUGUGGUGUGAACUGGGGCUUGAUCACACACAGUAGGACCAAACAUCAGACCAUGAUGGAGUGGAUUUUUUUUUCAAGUGGUAUCUCACAACAUAUGGCUUGAAUCCUUGGGACUUUCGACGGCGUCAGCCAGUCCUUUAGAAUCUAGUCGUGGAGAGCCCUAACAAGAAAUUUCUAGACCUGCAAGAAUAAGACCCCCUGCAAGGACCCUGGUUUGAAUUGCGGAUCUCCCUACGGGGGCCUGCCUGGUCCACCUGCCCAGCCUCCCUGCCGUACCCUCACCCAUCCUCACCCAGUUUGUCGAAAAGCAACAGAUGCAAAGAGCCUGCAAGGGCAGGACAGUUUCACGGGCUAAGCCAGAUCCCCGCUCUCCCUUUUCUCAAAUUAAAAUGGAGAUGUGCUUCAGCUGCCUCUCCCACAUCCCUCUUCCUGGGAGGACCUGGAGGGGUCCUCAGGAGGGGGACAGAGGGGCACUCAGGAGCCCCACACAAGCUGUCGAGGCUGUUCUGGAAGUGGGUAAUCUCUGAAAGGGUGAUUUAGAGCUCAGCGUGGCAGGGCUGGAGGCAGCGAGGUAGCUGUUCCCCACGGCGCUCAUUAAGUUUCCAUAGAUUGCAUUUCCUGCCUCCCCCCGCUAGCCCUCCAAAGAGCCUGUUACUAAUUCAUAAAAACACUGCGAGCGUGAUCGAGUCCGCUGAUUACUGGAGCAGGCAGACACAAGAGACGGUAAAAUGUUCCGUGUCUCUCUAGCAGGCUCUCAGGGGCUCAGGAGGAAGAAAAAAUUAAAAAAGAGAAAAACAACAUGAAGAAAGGAAUAUGAAAAAAAAAAAAAAAACUGUGUUGUGAAAUAUUAAUCAGAGCUGUUUGCCCCCGGGGGCCAAAAAUAUGAGGCAGCAUAAUCAAUGUAGCAAGAGCUGCCCAGCAACAUGUCUUUGAGAAGCUGAUUAUUGCGGGUAAACACAGCUAAAUAUUCUGAAUCUUUGGACUGUGCCUCUGGUGUCGCUUGAGAAUCCGAUUCCCUUAUCAUCCUUCUGCAGGUGUGGCCCCGGGGAGGAGCGUGGGAGGUGUUGGCGGGACAUGGCUUCCUGGGCAGGGAGUCACUUGGGCCCCAGUAGGAGCUGCUUCUGUUCCUUUCCAA